UACGUAGGGUGCAAGCGUUAAUCGGAAUUACUGGGCGUAAAGCGCGCGCAGGCGGACUGAUAAGUCAGAGGUGAAAUCUCCCGGCUCAACUGGGAGGGGCCCUUUGAUACUGUCAGUCUUGAGGCACCUAGAGGAGAGUGGAAUUCCCGGUGUAGUGGUGGAAUGCGUAAAUAUCGGGAGGAACACCAGUGGCGAAAGCGACUCUCUGGGGGUGACCUGACGCUGAGGCGCGAAAGCGUGGGGAGCAAAC
RNAcentral lists this ribosomal RNA (250 nucleotides) under uncultured bacterium. RNAcentral describes it as "partial 16S ribosomal RNA". It matches the Rfam family "Bacterial small subunit ribosomal RNA", at positions 524 to 773 of the family's 1533-position model. The record is from RNAcentral.